RNAcentral lists this ribosomal RNA (382 nucleotides) under uncultured eukaryote. Its description in RNAcentral is "partial 18S ribosomal RNA". It matches the Rfam family "Eukaryotic small subunit ribosomal RNA", at positions 592 to 976 of the family's 1831-position model. The record is from RNAcentral.
CAAUAGCGUAUAUUAAAGUUGUUGCAGUUAAAAAGCUCGUAGUUGGAUUUCUGGUUGAAGCGACCGGUCGGGCGUUGAUUCGUCUGCACUGGAGUCGGUUUUGGCCAUCCUCUAGGAAAGUGCGUCUGGUAUUAAGUUAUCGGGCGUAUGAUCCUGGUUUUUUACUGUGAAAAAAUUAGAGUGUUUAAAGCAGGCCUUCGCCUUGAAUACAUUAGCAUGGAAUAAUAAGAUAGGACUUUGGUCUAUUUUGUUGGUUUGCAGACCGAAGUAAUGAUUAAUAGGGAUAGUUGGGGGUAUUUAUAUUCCGAUGUCAGAGGUGAAAUUCUUAGAUUUUCGGAAGAUAAACUUAUGCGAAAGCAUUUACCAAGGAUGUUUUCAUUAA